GAGGAGGAGGAAGAGGAAGAAGAGGAGAAAGAAAAAAAGAAAGAGAUAUUCGAUCGUUGUUGUUGAUGUUGUUGUUGUUGUUAUUGCAAAACGAGAAAGUGUGGAAAAUCGAUUGAGGGCAACGUACUUAUCAGUUAAGUGCAGUUAAAUGCAUAUAUUUCUCUCUCGCCGAUCUCCUGGAUAAAAAACGAACUAAAAAAAACGUAACUAAAGAGAAAAAGAAAAAAAAGAGAAAAAAAGGGGACAAAAAAAAAAAGAAAAAACAAAAAGAAAAAAAGAAAAGAGAGAAAAAGGGGGAAAAGAAAAGAGAAAAAGGAUUAUAUUUAAAAAGGGAAAAAUUGUUUCGUACGUACGUAGCAAGUUUUAUUGCUAAUAACAAUUGAUUUGUGAUGAUCGAAGGGAAAAUAUUAUCGUUUAUAUUUUUGUUGGAAACUCGUUAUUAUGUGACGGAUAGAAAAUUAAAGGAAUAUGUUAAAUUACGAUCAGAGAAAUGGGAAAAUAUAAAAGAUUGAACGAAACAAAACGAGAAAUAUAAAUAAAUAAAUGAAUAAUUGAAUAAAUAAAUAAAUAAAUAAAUAAAUAAAUGGAUGAAUGAAUGAGUGAAUAAAUAAAUAACGAUGAAAGCUCGAGCCUUUUUUUUUCGAGCUUAGCCGACAAAUAAAAUAAAAACAUUGAAAGAAAAAAAGGAUACGAAACAAAUGUAAUUGAUUGAAACUCGUUUCAUUCGGGAAUGUAUAUGUGUAUAUGGAAAAAUUUGGAAAUAAUUGAUCGAUAUUUUGUUUUCACUUCUUUUCUUUUCUUGUUUUUCGUUUUUGUUUCUUUUUCUCUCUCUCUCUCUCUCUCCCUCCCUCUCUCUCUCCCCCUCUCUCUCUCUUCUUCUCUUUUACAUUUUCAUCGAGAAUUGUAAGCUUUUCUCGAUGAUGAUAUUCCUGCAAUUAGCGAUUAGCUUCGAGAACGAGCUUUAUUGUCGGAAUGGAGAAAAGCGAGAAAUCCAUUUUUCUUUCUUUUUCAAUUUUUUUUUUUUUUUCUUUUGACGUUCCUUCGACUUCCGGCGAAUUGUCACUUUCUCGUAUUUCACGUUGCUUCUUUCUUUUUUCUUUUUUUUGUUGUUGUUUAUUUUAAAAACAUGACAAAGCGAGAGAGAAAGAGAGAGAAAGGGAAAGAGAUGUGCAUAUAUAUAUAUAUAUAUAUAUAUAUAUAUAUAUAUAUAUGUAUAUACACACACACGCAUACACGCAGAGACAGCAGACUUAACAAACGUUGCGAUUUGGCUUACGUAUCCGCGCUUUUCGCUUUCUGAUCUCCGAACGAUGGAGGAAAGAGGGAGAGAGACAAAUAGAUAGACGGAGGUAGAGUGAGAGUGAGAUAGAGUGAGGGUGAGAGAGAGAGAGAGAAGAGGAGAGGAAAAAAACCAUGAAAAAUCUCGGAUGAUCAUUGACGUAGAAGAAAGAUCAUUCAUGUUCCCUUUUCCUUAUUUUUUACUAAACGUAUACUCGACGUACUCCGAAUUCUGUGUCCCUCUUUCUUCCGAAGUGAUUAUGUUCUUUUCUGUUUUUUUUUUCUUUUUUGUAAUUUAUUUCGAACGCCGUUCACGCAAAAUCGCAAGAUAUUGUGAUAAUGAUGAUGAUUGGCCAAUUAUAAAGAAGAACAGAUUCGAACGAACACAAUGAUGUAAACGAGACCAAAUUCGUUCGCGAUUAGCUUCGUUUUAUUCCGAGAGAGAAAGGGAGAGAGAGAGAAAGAGAGAGAGAGAGAGAGAGAGAGAGAGAGAGUGUGUGUAUCGUCUCUACGUCUUAUCGUCUUAGUGCUUUAGUAGCACUAAUGCUCAGAAUACGUUGUUCGAGAGAGAAGGAAAAGUCAAUAAAACUAUCUUCAAUUUUA
This is a long non-coding RNA of Vespa mandarinia (Asian giant hornet), 1881 nucleotides long. Lineage: Eukaryota; Metazoa; Arthropoda; Insecta; Hymenoptera; Vespidae. The record is from RefSeq and is a predicted model, not a curated record.